RNAcentral lists this ribosomal RNA (253 nucleotides) under uncultured bacterium. RNAcentral describes it as "partial 16S ribosomal RNA". It matches the Rfam family "Bacterial small subunit ribosomal RNA", at positions 524 to 776 of the family's 1533-position model. The record is from RNAcentral.
UACGAGGGGUCCUAGCGUUGUUCGGAAUCAUUGGGCGUAAAGAGUAUGUAGGCGGCCAUAUAAGUCAGGUGUGAAAUCCCCGGGCUCAACCCGGGAAGUGCAUUUGAUACUGUUUGGCUUGAGUAUGGAAGAGGGUAGUGGAAUUCCUGGUGUAGUGGUGAAAUACGUAGAUAUCAGGAGGAACACCGGUGGCGAAGGCGGCUACCUGGUCCUAUACUGACGCUGAGAUACGAAAGCAUGGGGAGCAAACAGG